GUGAGGCGGGUGCUAUACAUGCAAGUCGAACGCACUCUCGUUUAGAUUGAAGGAGCUUGCUCCUGAUUGAUAAACAUUUGAGUGAGUGGCGGACGGGUGAGUAACACGUGGGUAACCUGCCCUAAAGUGGGGGAUAACAUUUGGAAACAGAUGCUAAUACCGCAUAAAACCUAACACCGCAUGGUGUAGGGUUGAAAGAUGGUUUCGGCUAUCACUUUAGGAUGGACCCGCGGUGCAUUAGUUAGUUGGUGAGGUAAAGGCUCACCAAGACCGUGAUGCAUAGCCGACCUGAGAGGGUAAUCGGCCACACUGGGACUGAGACACGGCCCAGACUCCUACGGGAGGCAGCAGUAGGGAAUCUUCCACAAUGGACGAAAGUCUGAUGGAGCAACGCCGCGUGAGUGAAGAAGGUUUUCGGAUCGUAAAACUCUGUUGUUGGAGAAGAAUGUAUCUGAUAGUAACUGAUCAGGUAGUGACGGUAUCCAACCAGAAAGCCACGGCUAACUACGUGCCAGCAGCCGCGGUAAUACGUAGGUGGCAAGCGUUGUCCGGAUUUAUUGGGCGUAAAGCGAGCGCAGGCGGUUUCUUAAGUCUGAUGUGAAAGCCUUCGGCUCAACCGAAGAAGUGCAUCGGAAACUGGGAAACUUGAGUGCAGAAGAGGACAGUGGAACUCCAUGUGUAGCGGUGAAAUGCGUAGAUAUAUGGAAGAACACCAGUGGCGAAGGCGGCUGUCUGGUCUGUAACUGACGCUGAGGCUCGAAAGCAUGGGUAGCAAACAGGAUUAGAUACCCUGGUAGUCCAUGCCGUAAACGAUGAGUGCUAGGUGUUGGAGGGUUUCCGCCCUUCAGUGCCGCAGCUAACGCAUUAAGCACUCCGCCUGGGGAGUACGACCGCAAGGUUGAAACUCAAAGGAAUUGACGGGGGCCCGCACAAGCGGUGGAGCAUGUGGUUUAAUUCGAAGCAACGCGAAGAACCUUACCAGGUCUUGACAUCCUUUGACCACUCUAGAGAUAGAGCUUUCCCUUCGGGACAAAGUGACAGGUGGUGCAUGGUUGUCGUCAGCUCGUGUCGUGAGAUGUUGGGUUAAGUCCCGCACGAGCGCACCUAUACUAGUGCAGCAUUAGUGGGCACUCUAGUGAGACUGCGGUGACAAACCGGAGAAGGUGGGGGACACGUCAAUCUCAUGCCCCUUAAGAC
This 1197-nucleotide ribosomal RNA is filed under the name Latilactobacillus sakei. RNAcentral describes it as "bacterial SSU rRNA". It matches the Rfam family "Bacterial small subunit ribosomal RNA", at positions 37 to 1208 of the family's 1533-position model. Lineage: Bacteria; Bacillati; Bacillota; Bacilli; Lactobacillales; Lactobacillaceae. The record is from RNAcentral.